AGCUUUCUGUAUCCAUGCUGAGAUUUCGUCAGAGAUCAACCCGUUGGGGAUGAUGGUACUUCCCAAGCAAGUGAAGCU
RNAcentral lists this microRNA precursor (78 nucleotides) under Trichobilharzia regenti. RNAcentral's name for it is "mir-3492 microRNA precursor family". It matches the Rfam family "mir-3492 microRNA precursor family". The record is from Rfam by way of RNAcentral. Lineage: Eukaryota; Metazoa; Platyhelminthes; Trematoda; Strigeidida; Schistosomatidae.